GGGUCAGUGUCUAGGUGUC
Molecule: unclassified non-coding RNA, 19 nt
Filed under: Mus musculus (house mouse)
Lineage: Eukaryota; Metazoa; Chordata; Mammalia; Rodentia; Muridae
Description: oocyte_clustered_small_RNA7216
Source: RNAcentral